GAGAUGGCCUCCUCUAGUGAGGGCUGUUCUCCUGGGAGGAAAGAACCGCUUGGCGAGAGAGAAGGAAGUGAGGAGUGGAUUUGUCAGCGGAGGGAGCUUGACGACACCGUAUUCCAAGAGAAAGCAGUGGCAUUAAAGGCACUGAAGGUGUUGCACGGGAGUUUAAGACUUCUGAGGGCAGCCUUCUCCUACCCCGCAAUUGUGCCUCAGCCUGGCCCUGCCCAUCAUCUCCGAAGGGGAGGUGGCCUCGGGCUCCAGAAAUAAAUAGCACGGUCCCGGCACUCUCCACUUUAAACUCCCCAUUCCGGCCACGGUGAGCGGCUCCUCACCCCCCACCCGUGACUCUUUCCUCACCUCCAUUCCUGUGUGACCUCAGGCAAGUCCUCAGCGUCUUACCCUCGGUUUCUUCUUCUCCCCAGCGGGGCUAAUAGUACUGGCCCAGAGGCCAUGUCGCCGAAAACUUCCGGUCUCCCAGCACAGCCCCUGGGGAAUGGCGCCUCCUCCCGGAAAGUGAACCACACACCCGGCUCCGCGGGAAACAGGUGACUUCCGCCAAACAGGAGACAAUGGACCUGGAAUGUUCCAGCUGCGUCCCAUUAGGUGCUCUGCUAACAUCCUACUUUCUCUUCUGAGCCCUCAGUACGCUGGUGCCAGGAGCUCCCCUGUCUCAAGGUUUCCACUGAUUCGGAGAAAAGUACCUUCAUUCACACCGAAUGGUCUUUGAAGCAACUUGGAUGGAGCUGGAGACCGUUAUUAGCAUCUGCCUGCUGCAUUUCAUCACGGAUGGUGAUGUGGAGCCCUUUGUCACUUCUGAAGACCUCACCCCAUGUUCUUCUGGAAGGAUGGGAGCCUCACACCGCUAUUCUCUCGUCUCUAAAGAAGGACCUCAGUUUACAUUCAAGAGUGCAUUGGCGGUAGAGUUUACCAGUCGUCUUAUGUUAAGUUGCACCACAGUGACAAGCAACCCCAACCCUGGUGGCCUGCAGUCACAGAGGGUUAUCCUCACUCAUGCUGUGCGUCAGCUGUGGGUCGGAUCCAGCUCUGCUCUGUGUAUUCUUGAUUUCAGGAGCCAGCUGGAAGAGAAGCUACAUCUGAGACUUAACUAUUCUCAUGGCAGAGAGAAAAUGCCAAUGAGGGAGCCCCCUGCUGCCUCUUGGUCAAGUCUUUCAUUCAUUCAGUCCUUUACAUUUGUUAAGCAACCAUAUGUACUACCACAGUCCCUCCUCUUAUGUAGUUUACAGUCUUGUGCAAGUAAUCAACUUGUUAAACCUAUAAGGUAAGUACAUUAAAAGAAAGUAACACUGGAUCAUGAGGAUGCAUCAUGGAAGAAUUUCAUCUGGUCUUGGUGGGCAGGGAAAUAGCAUCAAAGAAGACUUCUCCAGAACAGCGUCCUUUGAACUAAGAUCUAAAGGAUGUAUAAGAAUUAACUAUGCAAAGGAAGCCAAGAAGGCAGAGAAUUGCAUGUGCAAAGGUCCUGUGGCAGGUAAAGGUUGAUUCAUUCAGGGCACUGGAAAAGAAAAGGCAGGAUCAUGGGUUUGAAGUGAACAAGAAGUGGUGGGAAAUGGUGUUGGGGAAGCUUUAUGGGUCAAGCUUCUUGGCCUCUUCCUACAUACAUGGGAAGGUGUUGAAAGAUUUUAAGUCAUUUAAUAAUAUUUACUUUCCUAGAUGGGGAAAAUAUUACCUUCUAGGUCAGUCAACCUCAUAAGUAGUGAUGAAUUAAUUACUAAAACUGGACUCUAAUAAUGGCAUCUGAUGGAGACAUUUUAUCAGGCAGUAUUGAUACUUCCUCAACAGAAUUACUGAGCCAUUGUGAAGAAAUAUAUGUACUGCUGGGAUAAGGCUGUCUUCCUCAUAUAGCUUUAGAAAGAAGGGAGAGUGUACAAGAUCAUUUGAAAGAGGCUGAAAUGCAGACAGUAUCAUCAAUUACUUGAUGAAACAUCAAUCCCUUUUUUUCAGAGUUGGAUCACAAUGUAUAUAAAACAGUGCCCUGUGAAGAGGUAAUUAUUGUAAUUGAGUCACAUACCUGUUGUUCUUUCUGGGAGCCAAUUGGUUCCAUGAGAAUAGAGUAAAAAAGAUAUGUGCUACCAGUUUGAUAUUGGAAAUUUUGUGAAGUCUAAUCUAAAAUUAGGCUUCAAAUUCUCCCCUACUCCAAACACACCCCUGCUAUGACCCAUGAUUCCACCUGAUAAAGAUUAGAGAGUUAAACAGAAAGAUAUUUUCAUUAUUUCUUCCAAAUACCAACACCUGGACCCUUCCAUGAAUUUAUCUGUUUGUAGGGUAAGGCAAUCACUUCCCUUAAUCUUACCAAGCAGCUGUUCCAAGACAUUAAUUGCCCUGUCAUUUAUAUGUCUCAAAAUGGUGCCAUUUGACAGUGGCACACACUUCAAUUUGUUUGCUGUGUCAGACUGUGUUGCACUGGUUACCACUUUGCAGCAGGUUUUCUAGAUGACUUUCAUGGGUUUGUAAUACACAAGUGCUGUUAAAAAGUUCCCUUUAAGAGAAUCUCUGCUAUUCAUCAUCAUUAACCAGCCCUAUGGCAAUCAAUACACUACCCCCAUUGUGUAGAGGAGUCUUGAGAAUUGACAUCAACUCAUAGUUUCUAAUCCCAAGCUUCAGUCUUGCCGUCAGCAGAGAAAUAAAUGCAUACAUGUACACAUAAUGUUUCUUUGCAUGAAUAAUGAAAAAUGACUAAUGCUCACAAGCAACCGUUUGGAAUCAAGACAUGCUUCCUGUUCAAACCAUCAUGUGUUCACUCAGCUUCGUCGGCCAAUGAUAGAGCAAUUUUGAGGGUUUUAUUCCGUUAGCUGACAGCUCCCCAGACAGACUACAAAG
Molecule: long non-coding RNA, 2832 nt
Filed under: Macaca mulatta (Rhesus monkey)
Lineage: Eukaryota; Metazoa; Chordata; Mammalia; Primates; Cercopithecidae
Description: lncRNA (ENSMMUG00000037490.2)
Source: RNAcentral